Molecule: ribosomal RNA, 253 nt
Filed under: uncultured bacterium
Lineage: Bacteria
Description: partial 16S ribosomal RNA
Rfam family: Bacterial small subunit ribosomal RNA
Source: RNAcentral
UACGUAGGGUGCAAGCGUUAAUCGGAAUUACUGGGCGUAAAGCGUGCGCAGGCGGUUGUGCAAGACCGAUGUGAAAGCCCCGGGCUUAACCUGGGAAUGGCAUUGGUGACUGCACGGCUAGAGUGUGUCAGAGGGGGGUAGAAUUCCACGUGUAGCAGUGAAAUGCGUAGAGAUGUGGAGGAAUACCGAUGGCGAAGGCAGCCCCCUGGGAUAACACUGACGCUCAUGCACGAAAGCGUGGGGAUCAAACAGG